This is a long non-coding RNA of Raphanus sativus (radish), 841 nucleotides long. RefSeq lists it as uncharacterized. The transcript has 2 exons. The record is from RefSeq and is a predicted model, not a curated record. NCBI's taxonomy places the organism in Eukaryota, Viridiplantae, Streptophyta, Magnoliopsida, Brassicales, Brassicaceae.
AAAAAAAAAUACCUUGACAAAAAAAAGGAAUUAACGUGAGACACGGCGCCGUUAACGUCUUCUUCAUCAUCGAUCUGCUUUUUCUUCUUCUUCAUCCCAUAGACUCCUAAAUAAUUCUUCAUGUAACUUACAGGUUCAAGUUUUGUCUAGUGAACGUGAUGAUGAUGCGUAUAUGUCACUGCAGAUGGCACUCGGCUGGAAUAUAUGACGUGAAGACGAAGAUGGGAGGAACGUUUGGGACGACAAGGCUUCCACAAGAGCUAGUUCAUGAUGCUAACAAUGGUCUUGAUAUUGCUGUCAGGCUUCUUGAGCCUAUCAAUCUCUUUUUCCCCAUCUUGUCUUGCACUGAUUUUUACCAGAUAACUUUCAAGUAUUUGCUGUGUUUAUUUUUUUUAGCUGUAAUAGUGAGCAAUGGAUCCAUCAGGUUGUAAGGCAAUUAGGAAUUUAUGAACAGCUUUGUUAAAGAAGGAAGAAGAAGAAGAAGAGCUCUGAGUGGCAAGAAACAGAAGAGUGAAGAAGAAUUGUGACUGUGAGAACAAAAACAGAGAGUAAGUGAGUGAACAAGAGAAACUAAAGAUGAUGGAGACUGGAGAGGCUGGCGAGAGUAGUUGAGUUAAUGCUCUAAUCAAUGGGUGCUGAAAUUCAUUUCUGGUUGCAGCCUAAUUUAGUUUCUUCAGCCUUUUUAGCUUGUGAAGCUUCCAUAUUGUUGCUUGAGAUAGUUCUCCAAGAUCGCCAAGGUCAACCUUAUUAAACCUGCCAAUGUUCCAACAUCAACAUCUAGUGUAUUUCUUUCUAUUCUUAUGUUUAUUUUGUUUAGUUUAUUCUACGAAGUGUUGAGACA